RNAcentral lists this ribosomal RNA (474 nucleotides) under uncultured bacterium. RNAcentral describes it as "partial 16S ribosomal RNA". It matches the Rfam family "Bacterial small subunit ribosomal RNA", at positions 28 to 507 of the family's 1533-position model. The record is from RNAcentral.
GACGAACGCUGGCGGCGUGCUUAACACAUGCAAGUCGAACGGUAAGGCCCUUCGGGGUACACGAGUGGCGAACGGGUGAGUAACACGUGGGUAAUCUGCCCUGCACAUCGGGAUAAGCCUGGGAAACUGGGUCUAAUACCGAAUAGGACCACAGGACACAUGUCCUGUGGUGGAAAGCUUUUGCGGUGUGGGAUGGGCCCGCGGCCUAUCAGCUUGUUGGUGGGGUGAUGGCCUACCAAGGCGACGACGGGUAGCCGGCCUGAGAGGGUGUCCGGCCACACUGGGACUGAGAUACGGCCCAGACUGCUACGGGAGGCAGCAGUGGGGAAUAUUGCACAAUGGGCGAAAGCCUGAUGCAGCGACGCCGCGUGGGGGAUGACGGCCUUCGGGUUGUAAACCUCUUUCACCAUCGACGAAGGUCCGGGUUUUCUCGGGCUGACGGUAGGUGGAGAAGAAGCACCGGCCAACUACGUG